Corythoichthys intestinalis (scribbled pipefish) is the source of this 446-nucleotide long non-coding RNA. RefSeq lists it as uncharacterized. Lineage: Eukaryota; Metazoa; Chordata; Actinopteri; Syngnathiformes; Syngnathidae. The record is from RefSeq and is a predicted model, not a curated record. The transcript is spliced from 4 exons.
AGAUUCCCAGAGUGUUUUGAAGCAAAGCUUCAAGCUGAGCACCACCAUUGAAAGGUCAUCCAUACGAUCCUGCUUUCGGAUUUGUGAUGAGAGUGGCUCAAAAUGCCACAUGGAGCCUCAUUAAUCAGAGAAAAGCCAAUGCCGCUGUUGGAGGUGAUUGCAGCUGAAAUCCUUGUUAAAACAUGGGGACUACACAACCAACAAGUUUCCGAAGGAAUGCAUACCUGCCAAGUUGUAGGUUUCGGCGUAAUUUGUACAAAUAAUCAUGGACUUUAACUGCCAACAAUAAUCAUGGACUUUUACCUGUCAACCAGCAAGGCUCAUGACCUAUUUUACAAGAAGAGUUAAUCACCAAACAGACACACCUCCUUAUAUGUACAGCAUAUAAGCAACGCCGAGCUCUCUGUUCAGUGUGCAUUUCUCUACACAGCCUUUGUUCUGUCAUU